UACGUAGGGGGCAAGCGUUGUCCGGAAUCAUUGGGCGUAAAGAGCGUGUAGGCGGCCCGGUAAGUCCGCUGUGAAAGCCCCGGGCUCAACCUGGGAAUUGCGCUCGAGACUGGUCUGCUUGAGUUCGGGAGAGGAGAGUGGAAUUCCCAGUGUAGAGGUGAAAUUCGUAGAUAUUGGGAAGAACACCGGUGGCGAAGGCGGCUCUCUGGACCGAGACUGACGCUGAGGCGCGAAAGCGUGGGGAGCAAACAGG
RNAcentral lists this ribosomal RNA (253 nucleotides) under uncultured bacterium. Its description in RNAcentral is "partial 16S ribosomal RNA". It matches the Rfam family "Bacterial small subunit ribosomal RNA", at positions 524 to 776 of the family's 1533-position model. The record is from RNAcentral.